ACAGUACAAACUGAGCAGGCGAUGGGCCUUCUGGCCUGUGGGGCUGGGUCCGUAAGGACAACAGGUGAAUAGAAACAUCUGUGGGACGGUU
Molecule: non-coding RNA, 91 nt
Filed under: Sphaerochaeta pleomorpha str. Grapes
Lineage: Bacteria; Pseudomonadati; Spirochaetota; Spirochaetia; Spirochaetales; Sphaerochaetaceae
Also listed under: 1 other name
Description: Spirochaeta sp. Grapes NiCo (Nickel/Cobalt) riboswitch aptamer
Rfam family: NiCo (Nickel/Cobalt) riboswitch aptamer
Source: Rfam by way of RNAcentral